Long non-coding RNA from Vanessa tameamea, 599 nucleotides. RefSeq lists it as uncharacterized. The record is from RefSeq and is a predicted model, not a curated record. Lineage: Eukaryota; Metazoa; Arthropoda; Insecta; Lepidoptera; Nymphalidae. The transcript has 2 exons.
UAAUUUCCUUUCAAUACUUCUAUUACGGAACCCUAGAAACUGUACAGCCAGUUUGAUCACUGUAACCAGCAGUCUGUUUUGUUCGCGGUUCGAAGCGGUGCAUUAACCUUGUUUUGAAAUUUAUUUAAAACAUUUAACAUGACAUACGCUUUUUUGAUAGUUGUUUCCGUGGCUAUCACGUUUAAGUUAUUGUUUCUAGGUUUUUCAUUGGUGGUUACGUAUAAACACAGCAAAAGUGAUGCUAAGGCCAAUAUGCAGACAAAGCAGAACAAAAACCAAUCAUUAUCCGCGUGGAAACGCUUCUCUCGUAUUUUUAUACGAAAAUUAUCGUAUUGCCCCGAGACGUCCAAUAACAAUCAUAGUUUAAAAUUAUAGAAUGUAUAUUUAAAAUUUGCUUAAUAAUUAAUAAUGCGUUACAAUAGAUAUAAUCAUAUUUAUUUAUACUUAGAUAGUAAAUUACUUUAAGAAAUUAUAUGCAUUCAAGAUUAUAUAUUAUAAUAAUUGUUAUGAAAAUAUAUAUUUUAUUUAACUAUAUUUAGAAAUAAAUAAUUUAAUUAGGUAAUUCCAAUUUGUACAAACGAUAAUUAUAUUGAUUUUUU